RNAcentral lists this ribosomal RNA (640 nucleotides) under Salmonella enterica subsp. enterica serovar Infantis. Its description in RNAcentral is "bacterial SSU rRNA". It matches the Rfam family "Bacterial small subunit ribosomal RNA", at positions 1 to 630 of the family's 1533-position model. The record is from RNAcentral. RNAcentral also lists the same sequence under 1 other name. Lineage: Bacteria; Pseudomonadati; Pseudomonadota; Gammaproteobacteria; Enterobacterales; Enterobacteriaceae.
AAAUUGAAGAGUUUGAUCAUGGCUCAGAUUGAACGCUGGCGGCAGGCCUAACACAUGCAAGUCGAACGGUAACAGGAAGCAGCUUGCUGCUUCGCUGACGAGUGGCGGACGGGUGAGUAAUGUCUGGGAAACUGCCUGAUGGAGGGGGAUAACUACUGGAAACGGUGGCUAAUACCGCAUAACGUCGCAAGACCAAAGAGGGGGACCUUCGGGCCUCUUGCCAUCAGAUGUGCCCAGAUGGGAUUAGCUUGUUGGUGAGGUAACGGCUCACCAAGGCGACGAUCCCUAGCUGGUCUGAGAGGAUGACCAGCCACACUGGAACUGAGACACGGUCCAGACUCCUACGGGAGGCAGCAGUGGGGAAUAUUGCACAAUGGGCGCAAGCCUGAUGCAGCCAUGCCGCGUGUAUGAAGAAGGCCUUCGGGUUGUAAAGUACUUUCAGCGGGGAGGAAGGUGUUGCGGUUAAUAACCGCAGCAAUUGACGUUACCCGCAGAAGAAGCACCGGCUAACUCCGUGCCAGCAGCCGCGGUAAUACGGAGGGUGCAAGCGUUAAUCGGAAUUACUGGGCGUAAAGCGCACGCAGGCGGUCUGUCAAGUCGGAUGUGAAAUCCCCGGGCUCAACCUGGGAACUGCAUUCGA